RNAcentral lists this ribosomal RNA (254 nucleotides) under uncultured Actinomycetales bacterium. Its description in RNAcentral is "partial 16S ribosomal RNA". It matches the Rfam family "Bacterial small subunit ribosomal RNA", at positions 79 to 334 of the family's 1533-position model. The record is from RNAcentral. Lineage: Bacteria; Bacillati; Actinomycetota; Actinomycetes; Actinomycetales.
UUUGUGGGGUGCUCGAGUGGCGAACGGGUGAGUAACACGUGAGUAACCUGCCCUUGACUUUGGGAUAACUUCAGGAAACUGGGGCUAAUACCGGAUAGGAGCUCCUGCUGCAUGGUGGGGGUUGGAAAGUUUCGGCGGUUGGGGAUGGACUCGCGGCUUAUCAGCUUGUUGGUGGGGUAGUGGCUUACCAAGGCUUUGACGGGUAGCCGGCCUGAGGGGGUGACCGGCCACAUUGGGACUGAGAUACGGCCCAG